This 67-nucleotide transfer RNA is filed under the name Callitettix braconoides. RNAcentral's name for it is "tRNA-Ile". Lineage: Eukaryota; Metazoa; Arthropoda; Insecta; Hemiptera; Cercopidae. The record is from RNAcentral.
AAUAAGAUGCCUGAUAAAAGGAUUAUUUUGAUGUAAUAAAUUAUGUAAAUUAAUAUUACUCUUAUUA